RNAcentral lists this ribosomal RNA (498 nucleotides) under uncultured bacterium. Its description in RNAcentral is "bacterial SSU rRNA". It matches the Rfam family "Bacterial small subunit ribosomal RNA", at positions 29 to 517 of the family's 1533-position model. The record is from RNAcentral.
AACAAACGCUGGCGGCGUGUCUUAAGCAUGCAAGUUGAGCGGCAAGGAGGAGAGAUCCUCCCUAGAGCGGCGGACUGGUGAGUAACGCGUGGGUAAUCUAUCGUAGGCAUGGGGAUAGUCACUAGAAAUAGUGGGUAAUACCGAAUACGUUCCAUGAGGGAGUAUUCAUGGAAGAAAGGGUGCUACGGCACUGGCCUUAGGUGAGCUCGCGUCCCAUUAGCUAGUUGGUGAGGUAAAGGCCCACCAAGGCGAUGAUGGGUAGCCGGCCUGAGAGGGUGUACGGCCACACUGGGACUGAGAUACGGCCCAGACUCCUACGGGAGGCAGCAGCUAAGAAUAUUCCGCAAUGGACGAAAGUCUGACGGAGCGACGCCGCGUGGAUGAAGAAGGCCGAAAGGUUGUAAAGUUCUUUUGCUUAGGGGAGAAUAAGUGAGGAGGAAUGCCCUCAUGAUGACAAGGACUAGCGAAUAAGCCCCGGCAACUACGUGCCAGCAGCCG